GCCAAACGCCCAGCUUUUUAAUCCGCUUAUAUAAGAACCACUUUAGUCAAAACCGUCCAAAAUAAACUUGAAAACAAAAUCGGCCGAGUCAUUCCAAUAAUAGGAAACUGUUACUUUCUACAAUAUAAACCCUAUAGACUAUUUUAUCUUCUUCCGCAUGUAUUCUUCAUGAUACUUAAAUUCUCUACACAGUCAGAUUUUCUCAGCAUCCGGAUUCCUAGAAAAGCAUCCAGAUUCCUAUUAUGUCCCUCGUUCGUUGGCUCGAUUAUCUGAGGCCAAGCUUCACUUGCUGCAGGACUAUUACCAUGUGUCGUGUCUGUGUUACCGCAAUGCAUGUUGUCCUCGCACACUUAGGUCAGCGAGGAGAUUCUUACUCCAUGGAUAACCUUUAUUUUCGAGUCCACCAAACCAGCCUUAUGAUUAUAUUAUUUUAUGCGUGCACAUGUAGGACUACAAGACUUUGUUUUAGUUCAAAAAAGAACUAGUCAGAGACAAAUAUUCG
This 502-nucleotide long non-coding RNA is filed under the name Zea mays. Its description in RNAcentral is "drought responsive lncRNA". Lineage: Eukaryota; Viridiplantae; Streptophyta; Magnoliopsida; Poales; Poaceae. The record is from RNAcentral.